Molecule: small RNA, 747 nt
Filed under: Arabidopsis thaliana (thale cress)
Lineage: Eukaryota; Viridiplantae; Streptophyta; Magnoliopsida; Brassicales; Brassicaceae
Description: ATSL272980
Source: RNAcentral
AUAGGGUUUGUAAAGAACUUGAUAAAAGACUUGAUUAAAGAAACAUAUGUCUAAAAACAAUAUAUAAAACCCUAAAAACGUCGAGGGACUAAUAAUGCAAAUAGGAAAGUUUUCUGGGGCAAAUUUCCUCUUCUGUAAAACUUGAAAGCGUCAUGGACUUUUGCUGGGCUGAAACUGGUGUCGAUCGACACCAAGAGUGUGUCGAUCGACACUCCUCGCUGAUUCCUGAACCAAAAUCGUCCUUAGCUUCCUUUUCCUUAGCUUUUGCUCCAAAAUGUCUCCUUAUAUUCAUUGUUGUCCCAUUGCAUAGAAUACAUGAAAAGACACUAAAAAGACUCGAGAAAUAACAUAAAGACUCAAAAUCCUAUACCUAAAACAUAGAUAAAAUCGGUGAAAAUCGGGUUAUAUCAACUCCCCCAGACUUAGCUUUUGCUUGCCAUCAAGCAAAACACAAAAGUCAAACCCGUGGAAGAGGUUUUGAAAACAUUCUUUAGCCUAUUGCCAUGAUCAUUCAAACUAAGUCCAUAUGCCUAACAAGUCUAAUCAAGUCCUAACCAGCAUGUACUUCUCUGUAAGCUUACACAACAUUCUAGAUUCCAUGGCUAAGUUCCACAAAUAUACCCGCCAGGCUUUCAUCGGUGUUCUUUCUCUCCCCAGACUUAUUCUUUUUAGAGAGUAAACAAAGGGGAACUCGCAUACUGGAUCGACACCCUCGGCAUUUUUCCAACCUUUGUAAUUGAUCAUUCA